This is a long non-coding RNA of Vicia villosa (hairy vetch), 232 nucleotides long. RefSeq lists it as uncharacterized. The transcript is spliced from 3 exons. NCBI's taxonomy places the organism in Eukaryota, Viridiplantae, Streptophyta, Magnoliopsida, Fabales, Fabaceae. The record is from RefSeq and is a predicted model, not a curated record.
UGUGUCAGUUGUGGUGCUAACAUCUUCUUUUCUUCGUUUUCGUUACUUUGAAGUCUCUGGUUUCUACUUGUACAACGCCGAUUCAAACCUACCAUCUCCCACAUCAAGUCUAACUCAGGUUAAAUGGCUCCGGAUAGAGAUGCUCCACCUGAAAACUCACAAGAAAACUCACAAGAAAGAGAUAAUCAAGAAAGAGAUGCUCCGGAUACAAAUGCUCCACCUGAUACUGAAG